Molecule: non-coding RNA, 21 nt
Filed under: Caenorhabditis elegans
Lineage: Eukaryota; Metazoa; Nematoda; Chromadorea; Rhabditida; Rhabditidae
Source: RNAcentral
UCCGUUCAUUAAGCCUCGAUC